AUUGAACGCUGGCGGCAUGCUUUACACAUGCAAGUCGAACGGAAGCGCGGGCUUCGGCCUGGCGGCGAGUGGCGAACGGGUGAGUAAUACACCGGAACGUGCCCAGUAGUGGGGGAUAGCUCGACGAAAGCCGGAUUAAUACCGCAUACGACAUGAGGGUGAAAGCGGGGGAUCUUUGGACCUCGCGCGAUUUGAGGGGCCGGUGGCAGAUUAGCUAGUUGGUGGGGUAAAGGCCUACCAAGGCGACGAUCUGUAGCUGGUCUGAGAGGACGACCAGCCACACUGGAACUGAGACACGGCCCAGACUCCUACGGGAGGCAGCAGUGGGGAAUUUUGGGCAAUGGGCGAAAGCCUGAUGCAGCAAUGCCGCGUGUGUGAUGGAGGCCUUCGGGUUGUAAAGCUCUGUUGGCGGGGACGAAAAGGUGUGUGAGAAUCCCUGCGUUUGAUGACGGUACCCGCAGAAUAAGCACCGGCUAACUACGUG
RNAcentral lists this ribosomal RNA (484 nucleotides) under uncultured bacterium. Its description in RNAcentral is "partial 16S ribosomal RNA". It matches the Rfam family "Bacterial small subunit ribosomal RNA", at positions 29 to 507 of the family's 1533-position model. The record is from RNAcentral.